Molecule: ribosomal RNA, 491 nt
Filed under: uncultured bacterium
Lineage: Bacteria
Description: partial 16S ribosomal RNA
Rfam family: Bacterial small subunit ribosomal RNA
Source: RNAcentral
GUGCACGCUGGCGGUAGGCCUAACCCAUGCAAGUCGCACGGCAGCACAGUAAGAGCUUGCUCUUACGGGUGGCGAGUGGCGGACGGGUGAGGAAUACAUCGGAAUCUACUUUUUCGUGGGGGAUAACGUAGGGAAACUUACGCUAAUACCGCAUACGACCUACGGGUGAAAGCAGGGGAUCUUCGGACCUUGCGCGAUUGCAUGAGCCGAUGUCGGAUUAGCUAGUUGGCGGGGUAAAGGCCCACCAAGGCGACGAUCCGUAGCUGGUCUGAGAGGAUGAUCAGCCACACUGGAACUGAGACACGGUCCAGACUCCUACGGGAGGCAGCAGUGGGGAAUAUUGGACAAUGGGCGCAAGCCUGAUCCAGCCAUACCGCGUGGGUGAAGAAGGCCUUCGGGUUGUAAAGCCCUUUUGUUGGGAAAGAAAAGCAGCAGGUUAAUACCCCGCUGUUCUGACGGUACCCAAAGAAUAAGCACCGGCUAACUUCGUG